Long non-coding RNA from Pristis pectinata (smalltooth sawfish), 507 nucleotides. RefSeq lists it as uncharacterized. Lineage: Eukaryota; Metazoa; Chordata; Chondrichthyes; Rhinopristiformes; Pristidae. The transcript is spliced from 4 exons. The record is from RefSeq and is a predicted model, not a curated record.
UAGACGGGCUGAGGGAGCUCGAUGGGCCUGACUUUAAAGAAAAGAUGAACCUGUGGAGAGGGACGAGGACAGAAGGCCGGCAAGUGAUUUAAUAAGAAGAGUGCGUCAGAUGGUGAAGGAUUAAAUGUUCACUUCAAAAAAAGGAGAGCAUGUUCCCUAAUUCCAAUCUGGGUCGUCCACCCUUCUCUCCUGCCCUCCUUUCACAGCAACAGUUUAUUAAUGUUCACAACUUCAGGAAUGCAACCCUUUCUGGUACUAUCCUGGCAGGAGUAGUUGCUCCACAAUCACCACGGGUAUGGCCCUUCAGUAAUGUGUGUCCUGCCCUUUUCACCGGCUCCUGCCCAGUAAUCUUGGCAGGAAACGAAGGAGCGAUGACCAGAGUAGUCCUUAUGAAGUUAAGCGCCAGCGGUUUCAGUCGCCAUCUUCCCAGCCAUCUGGCAGAUCAGUGCCUUUUCUAGUUGACCACAGGAAUUCGGUACCUUCACCUGGAAUUUCAUCUCUGCUUCC